This 253-nucleotide ribosomal RNA is filed under the name uncultured bacterium. RNAcentral's name for it is "partial 16S ribosomal RNA". It matches the Rfam family "Bacterial small subunit ribosomal RNA", at positions 524 to 776 of the family's 1533-position model. The record is from RNAcentral.
GACGAACCGUGCGAACGUUGUUCGGAAUCACUGGGCUUAAAGGGCGCGUAGGCGGUCCGCCAAGUCUGGGGUUAAAUCUCUCGGCUCAACCGAGAUAAUGCCUGGGAUACUGGCGGACUGGAGGGAUGUAGGGGCGAUCGGAACUUCCAGUGGAGCGGUGAAAUGCGUUGAUAUUGGAAGGAACGCCGGUGGCGAAAGCGGGUCGCUGGACAUCUUCUGACGCUGAGGCGCGAAAGCUAGGGGAGCGAACGGG